RNAcentral lists this long non-coding RNA (366 nucleotides) under Panax ginseng (ginseng). RNAcentral's name for it is "long non-coding RNA (PGIN_LNC018041)". Lineage: Eukaryota; Viridiplantae; Streptophyta; Magnoliopsida; Apiales; Araliaceae. The record is from RNAcentral.
UCUUGGCUAUGAUUACCACCAAAGUGGUUACCAUUCUUGGUAUGAUAAUUUCCCCCACGAUGGUUAUCAUUGUUCCGAUAGUCGUUGACACCGGUACGAUUUUUAUCGUGUUGGUGGUCGUUGUCUUUUGGUUGUGCUGACUCAUUUUCGCGCUUCAAUAACUGAGCCCUAUAGGAGUAAUACCCCUUACCUUAGAAGAAACUGGAUAUAGGAGUAGUGAAGUAGCAGAAUACUUUUCUUCUUUCUCUCUAGAGUUUCGGUUUUAUUCGUAAGAAAUAAUGAAGGAAUGGGCUUCUAUUUAUAGGAGAAUGGACUGAAUAGUAACUAAUUCAUGAACGGUCCAGAUUGAUUUACUUUUAAACGGAU